CCAGCCACCGGCAGCAGCACUGCCAGGGGAAAUGCCUUGUUGGUUUCUGAUGGCAGCAAUCUGCAUCCCAAAGGGCUUCCUGGCGCUGGCCGCCCAGAGGUGCUGCUUGCCUUGCUCAGAGCUGAUGCGGGUAGUUAUUUCCAGCUGUGCCGCUGGAUUCAGAGGGGGUGAUAAGGUUGAGUUGUAAUCUACUCUUAUCACCUAGUGGGUGCAGUGAUCUGUGCAGAAGUUUUAUUUGCUAAAUACCACGUUUUUGGUCAAGCCUAACCUAUAGGAGGAUAUACAAAGAGGACCAGCAAGUCCAAAGCUGUAUGGCUUUAAACAAUCAGCAGAUAUUUCUAACACUCAAAGAUAGCUUUUUAAAUCAUUUUUUUAAUGCAUAGUGUUUUGCUGGCAUCAAAAAGCCAUGAGAAAGCAACAACUAGUGUUUUUUAAUAGCUUUGUCUAGUCACCUAUAUAAAUGUAACGUACUUUGGUUUGCAUACACAGGUGUCUGCCUGCACCAGCGUCCACAAGUCUGUCUCGAUAAGAACGCUACUUGUAAAACUCCAGCAAAGCCAUGGCAGGAGUGGAGAGUAAGAAGAAGGAAUUUAAUAACUGGAAAGCUCCCUAGCCUGAACGAUACAAUUGAUAAGUAGCAUGGAUUCUUAGAAAGCUAACAUCUAUUGCAGCCUCUCUUUAAUAUGUUGGUUUCCUCUGUCUUUUUGGUUUUCCCCUGCAGCAGGGGUAAAAUAACUCUCUUGAAAAUAGCUGUGAUGGUAUAUAAUGUCAGAAUGGGUUUUAUUUUAUUUAUUUUUUUAAAGGUAUUAUUUUGAAGUUAUGUUUUACUAGUAAUUGAGGACUGGCCAACUGUUUUCUACUUGGGAGACGCGAGAGUUAGCGUGAGUGCUGCAGGAACAAGGCAGGACUCAGAAAAAAGAGUGACUGGAGGGUGAGUAGGUGGGCACGGUAACCAAUGUUUGGUGGAUAAUUGACUUUUUUCCACUAAAUGUUUGGCAAGCAGUUGGGAGGAGUCGUCAUCCGGAGGUGUGUCUGUGUUCUGACCACGAGAUAGGACUGCAGCCUCUGGCCAGUGCUCAAAGUGGGGGGAAGGUAAUAUGUAUCCCCGUAUAAUUUGGGGAUAUUUGUCCCAGGUUAGGUGGUCAGUGGGAGAGGGAGGAGACCUCAGUUGGAUCAGCACCUCCGUGAAGGGCAGUUCUGCACAUCAGCUCACAAACUGCAGGGAUCAGGUGGUAGUACAGGAGCCUGCUAUGCAGGAAGAGGCUGCUUUUUUGUGUGGUUUUGUUUUUUCCUUUUUAUUUAUUUAUUUUUUUCUGUUGCCUCUUUAAGGUAUGAAAAAGCUGUUACUUCACAUCUUUAACCAUCCAAGAGGGAGAUAGGGUAACCACAGAAAAAUGGUCUUGGUAUUUCUAAGACACAAAAGACACCUUUGCAGAAGAUGCUGUUAAACAUAUACAGGGGAAGAAAUAGCUACAUCACAAGGGCUCUGUGUCAGAACUGGCAUGUGUAGUAUUGUUCAUCUUUAUCUUGUUGAUGUCUCUUACCUGAAUUUUGUCACAGGUGAAGAUUUAUUGGGGUUCCUGUCUCAGUUUGGAUUGUGAAGGACUAACAUACUGAAGCUCAGGAUGUUGACAGCUGAGUUCUUGUUUCAUCAAGACACCACCUUGGAUUCGAGCUCAACCUGUUGCACAAUGGACAUGAGCUUCCUAACAUAGCUGUGGUGUACACCUCAUCAUCAUGAGAUGGCUCGGGGGGACGUGCUCUCCUGGAGAACUGUACAGCCGUGGUGAUGGUGCAUCUUCAGGAGCAGGGCCUGGCUGCAUUGCUCAUGCAGAAGAGGAUUACACGAAUUGAGCAGGUGUUGGCAUACAGUGGGUUGGCACAAGAACGCGAAUUCUUAGCAUAAUUUCCUUCCAGUCCUGCUGCUGCUCUUUCGGUUUAUAUUGCUGCAAAGUAUUUGUUACCGGUUUUCCCUGCGGUGCUUUGCUCUGUCCCAGUCAGAGACAAACACGCCUAGCCCAGGGAAUGGAGAAGGAUGAAGGGUGGCUAAUUCCAUCAUCAGAAACCUCACCUUUCCAUUGCACCUGCCUCACAGCAUAGCACUUUGAGGGAAAGUGAGGGUGAACUGAUUGCCACAUCGAUGGCACAAGCUAGUCUAAGCAGUGGCACAGGACCUGAAGCCCACGUUGGACG
Oxyura jamaicensis (ruddy duck) is the source of this 2193-nucleotide long non-coding RNA. RefSeq lists it as uncharacterized. The transcript has 3 exons. The record is from RefSeq and is a predicted model, not a curated record. NCBI's taxonomy places the organism in Eukaryota, Metazoa, Chordata, Aves, Anseriformes, Anatidae.